UUUUGUUUGUUUUUUCGUAACAGUUUUUGCUGGUUUUUUAAUUUAACAAAUUUAUUGCCAGUUGUUACAGCAGAAGAGCAUCCCAGUACUGUGAACAGCAGUUCCCCAGCAGAAGAGCAUCCCAGCACUGUGAACAGCAGUUCCCCAGCAGAAGAGCAUCCCAGUACUGUGAACAGCAGUUCCCCAGCAGAAGAGCAUCCCAGCACUGUGAACAGCAGUUCCCCAGCAGAAGCACCCAGCCAGUCUCCUGUUCAUUCAUUGCCAGCUGCUCCAAAUGAGAAGUCCAACACCCUGAACAGCAGUUCCCCAAAGGAGGAGCCCAACCAGUUCCCUAUUUUUUUUGAUCUUGCAGUCAUUGUGGGAACUCCUUCCCGAGGGGACUGUGGACUCCCUGGAGAAUUCUACAUGGCAGAUAAGUAAUUUUCUUUACAAAGUGUCUAUUGGAAUUCUGUUAUAAUAAUAAGCCUGUGCUGUUUGGCCCUUUGCUCACUGGCAAGCCUUUCUGCUCUGUUCUUUGUAGGUUCCGAAAUUCGCAGGUCUAAAUAGGCAAGCUAUGCUGAACAUAUGCUUUGGAAACUAACCUCCUCUCCAGCUAGAGAGAGAUGAAAUUAGUUCCAUGCUCAAGAGUUCUCAGAGCAGCACCAAAAGCAUUGCCUUAGUUAAUUUAACUACCAUCUUCAUUAUAAAAAACAGUAGGUUUAAUAGAGAUUUUAUCAAUUGUGGACUUCUACUCUGCACCCAGAGCGAAAUUUAGUCUUGCAAUUAUGAAAAGAAGUUAAGCGGUUCUCAUUUUAUAACUUGAAACUAACUUAGUCUAUCUCGAAAAAGCAACCCAUUACUCGGUUUUUAAAUUUCAGAUUUUUUUUUUUUUAAAUAGUAUGAUGUUGCUAACACACCAUUCUAUUUCUUUCCCAGCAAUUUUCAUACUUUUUUCAACACACCAGUUCAGCAAUUAUACAUUUCAGAUGAAUCUUUUUCUUAGCAGCUGUACCAUAUGUAAGACACCUAAGAUGCAGCAUGUGCUUUUUGGAUAUUUUGUCAGGCUCCUGCAUUGUCCAGGUUUUUAAUGCAUAACUUCUUGCUUUCAGCAACUCAUCUGCUUCCUACUUUUGUGACCACAGGAUGUCU
This 1128-nucleotide long non-coding RNA is filed under the name Serinus canaria (Common canary). RNAcentral's name for it is "lncRNA (ENSSCAG00000004034.1)". The record is from RNAcentral. Lineage: Eukaryota; Metazoa; Chordata; Aves; Passeriformes; Fringillidae.